This 253-nucleotide ribosomal RNA is filed under the name uncultured Sphingomonadales bacterium. RNAcentral describes it as "partial 16S ribosomal RNA". It matches the Rfam family "Bacterial small subunit ribosomal RNA", at positions 524 to 776 of the family's 1533-position model. The record is from RNAcentral. Lineage: Bacteria; Pseudomonadati; Pseudomonadota; Alphaproteobacteria; Sphingomonadales.
UACGGAGGGAGCUAGCGUUGUUCGGAAUUACUGGGCGUAAAGCGCGCGUAGGCGGUCUAUUAAGUCAGGGGUGAAAUCCCGGGGCUCAACCCCGGAACUGCCCUUGAAACUGCUAGACUAGAAUCUUGGAGAGGCGAGUGGAAUUCCGAGUGUAGAGGUGAAAUUCGUAGAUAUUCGGAGGAACACCAGUGGCGAAGGCGGCUCACUGGCUCGAUACUGACGCUGAGGUGCGAAAGCGUGGGGAGCAAACAGG